This 310-nucleotide ribosomal RNA is filed under the name uncultured Yersinia sp. Its description in RNAcentral is "bacterial SSU rRNA". It matches the Rfam family "Bacterial small subunit ribosomal RNA", at positions 30 to 334 of the family's 1533-position model. The record is from RNAcentral. Lineage: Bacteria; Pseudomonadati; Pseudomonadota; Gammaproteobacteria; Enterobacterales; Yersiniaceae.
AUUGAACGCUGGCGGCAGGCCUAACACAUGCAAGUCGAGCGGCAGCGGAAAGUAGCUUGCUACUUUGCCGGCGAGCGGCGGACGGGUGAGUAAUGUCUGGGAAACUGCCUGAUGGAGGGGGAUAACUACUGGAAACGGUAGCUAAUACCGCAUGACCUCGAAAGAGCAAAGUGGGGGAUCUUCGGACCUCACGCCAUCGGAUGUGCCCAGAUGGGAUUAGCUAGUAGGUGAGGUAAUGGCUCACCUAGGCGACGAUCCCUAGCUGGUCUGAGAGGAUGACCAGCCACACUGGAACUGAGACACGGUCCAG